GGGCGUUCUUCAAUAUUUAAUCAAGGGUGUGUUUGAAGAUCUGUCUGUGUGUGAGAGCAGUAACUGGAGAGGAGAAGGUUUAAGAUGAAAGACUUUCUUCACUCUCUUUUCUCACUUUCACAUGCAGACGCUCUUCUGUGGACUCAGCAUCAGACGGGACGCCCGCUGUCCGCCCGCUGACCGUCUGAUGCACGCUUCACCUGAAACACAAGCACUUUCUCAAUCUAGUAAACUCUAAUGUGACUGGCUGACUUUAUGGAGCUUCCAAGAAAGCUCCCAGGGUUUUUCUCCAGUCUGUUUGGAAAAGUUGUGUUGACUGAGGAUCAAAUCUUUCAAGAAUGAAAUCAUCGCUGGAUUUACCAAAGUUUGUGAGAUCCUCGAGACUGAACACCUGCCCUCUGUGUUCUUCCUGUCAUCCAACACCUCGGCGUUACACCUGAAAUUAGAGCACACACACACACCCACAACACACACACACACUCUGGUGUCCUCCAGGCAUGUGCUCCAUUCAGCCGUGUAGAGGUGAUCUUUCAUUUUGACAGAUCAUCAGCUUUUCUUUCAUGAGAUGUGGAGAUACUGGUUUGCCGAGCGCAACCGUUCGCUUUUAACAUCUUCAUACAGCGAGAAGCAGGCCUCGGCUUUAGAUCAGCUCUUGAAUCAUAAAAGCUUUGCUUAUUCCGAAAGCAUCCUGAAGAUUUCAGCUGCGUGGCUGAAGGGGCGGCACGGUUUCUGUCCCCUCAUGCAUCUGUGAGCAGCGUGGACGCCUGCCAAACUGUUAAUGGAUAACAACCCCAGGUCCAUCCACCCGUCAUCAGACACAAGCCAGAGCACCCAAACAAUCUGUGUCAAAUCAGAGAGCUGCUUCUGACCUUGAAACUGACACACAUCGAGCGAUAAGUCCACGAUGCUGGAAAACACUUGAUCUGUCUCGUAUGGAAUCAAGGAUUACGAACAGCAGUCUUAAGAGACAAACAGUCUGAUCAAUGCUUUAACACAGCGUCCCGUCCCAAGAAACAGCACAGAGCUGAGGACCAAACCAGUUCUAUUGAUGUGAACCUCGAACAUUGAUAUUGAUUUCCCACCGAUUCAUUUAUUCAGACAUGUGGGUCAUAGUAGAUGCUGAGAUCUGUCCCUUUCAGUGUGCAAGAAGACAGUCGUGUAGGUGCAAAGUUCAUGUUUAUUCAAAUAUAAAAUUGAUCCACUGAUCAUUUAGAUGUGACUGGAUUUUUUUACUUAUUAAAGAAAAAACAAUGUGUGUACACACACACACACACACACACACACAGUUUUUCUUUAAUAAGUGAAAAUUUUGAGUAAAAAGUAUAUAUAUAAUUCCAU
Long non-coding RNA from Cyprinus carpio carpio, 1338 nucleotides. The record is from Ensembl. NCBI's taxonomy places the organism in Eukaryota, Metazoa, Chordata, Actinopteri, Cypriniformes, Cyprinidae.